This 253-nucleotide ribosomal RNA is filed under the name uncultured bacterium. RNAcentral's name for it is "partial 16S ribosomal RNA". It matches the Rfam family "Bacterial small subunit ribosomal RNA", at positions 524 to 776 of the family's 1533-position model. The record is from RNAcentral.
GACAGAGGGUGCAAACGUUGCUCGGAAUCACUGGGCGUAAAGGGCGUGUAGGCGGGAAUGUAAGUCGGGCGUGAAAUCCCUAGGCUCAACCUAGGAACUGCACUCGAAACUGCGUUUCUUGAGUAUCGGAGAGGAAAGCGGAAUACCUGGUGUAGAGGUGAAAUUCGUAGAUAUCUGGAGGAACACCGGUGGCGAAGGCGGCAUCCUGGACCAUUACUGACACUGAAAAGCGAAAGCCAGGGGAGCAAACGGG